This 56-nucleotide transfer RNA is filed under the name Pyronema omphalodes CBS 100304. RNAcentral's name for it is "tRNA-Lys". It matches the Rfam family "tRNA", at positions 1 to 54 of the family's 71-position model. Rfam says of the family: Transfer RNA (tRNA) molecules are approximately 80 nucleotides in length. Their secondary structure includes four short double-helical elements and three loops (D, anti-codon, and T loops). Further hydrogen bonds mediate the characteristic L-shaped molecular structure. tRNAs have two regions of fundamental functional importance: the anti-codon, which is responsible for specific mRNA codon recognition, and the 3' end, to which the tRNAs corresponding amino acid is attached (by aminoacyl-tRNA synthetases). tRNAs cope with the degeneracy of the genetic code in two manners: having more than one tRNA (with a specific anti-codon) for a particular amino acid; and 'wobble' base-pairing, i.e. permitting non-standard base-pairing at the 3rd anti-codon position. The record is from RNAcentral. Lineage: Eukaryota; Fungi; Ascomycota; Pezizomycetes; Pezizales; Pyronemataceae.
GCCUCGCUAGCUCAAUCGGUAGAGCGUCAGACUCUUAAUCUGAAGGUUGCGGGUUU